UACGUAGGCAGCGAGCGUUGUUCGGAAUUACUGGGCGUAAAGAGUGUGUAGGCGGUGCUCUAAGUUCGGUGUGAAAUCUCCUGGCUCAACUGAGAGGGUGCGCCGGAAACUGGAGUGCUUGAGCGUGGGAGAGGAAAGCGGAAUUCCUGGUGUAGCGGUGAAAUGCGUAGAUAUCAGGAGGAACACCUGUGGUGUAGACGGCUUUCUGGACCAUAGCUGACGCUGAGACACGAAAGCGUGGGUAGCAAACAGG
RNAcentral lists this ribosomal RNA (253 nucleotides) under uncultured bacterium. RNAcentral describes it as "partial 16S ribosomal RNA". It matches the Rfam family "Bacterial small subunit ribosomal RNA", at positions 524 to 776 of the family's 1533-position model. The record is from RNAcentral.